Molecule: transfer RNA, 87 nt
Filed under: Burkholderiales bacterium GJ-E10
Lineage: Bacteria; Pseudomonadati; Pseudomonadota; Betaproteobacteria; Burkholderiales
Also listed under: 2 other names
Description: tRNA-Leu (CAA) (tRNA-Leu-CAA-1-1)
Rfam family: tRNA
About the family: Transfer RNA (tRNA) molecules are approximately 80 nucleotides in length. Their secondary structure includes four short double-helical elements and three loops (D, anti-codon, and T loops).
Source: RNAcentral
GCCCGGAUGGCGGAACUGGUAGACGCGCCGGACUCAAAAUCCGGUUCUGGCAACAGAGUGUGGGUUCGAUUCCCUCUCCGGGCACCA